UCUGGUAUUGAUUGGUGCUUGCAUCAUGAUUUACAUUUGAGUGAGUGGCGAACUGGUGAGUAACACGUGGGAAACCUGCCCAGAAGCGGGGGAUAACACCUGGAAACAGAUGCUAAUACCGCAUAACAACUUGGACCGCAUGGUCCGAGUUUGAAAGAUGGCUUCGGCUAUCACUUUUGGAUGGUCCCGCGGCGUAUUAGCUAGAUGGUGGGGUAACGGCUCACCAUGGCAAUGAUACGUAGCCGACCUGAGAGGGUAAUCGGCCACAUUGGGACUGAGACACGGCCCAAACUCCUACGGGAGGCAGCAGUAGGGAAUCUUCCACAAUGGACGAAAGUCUGAUGGAGCAACGCCGCGUGAGUGAAGAAGGGUUUCGGCUCGUAAAACUCUGUUGUUAAAGAAGAACAUAUCUGAGAGUAACUGUUCAGGUAUUGACGGUAUUUAACCAGAAAGCCACGGCUAACUACGUGCCAGCAGCCGCGGUAAUACGUAGGUGGCAAGCGUUGUCCGGAUUUAUUGGGCGUAAAGCGAGCGCAGGCGGUUUUUUAAGUCUGAUGUGAAAGCCUUCGGCUCAACCGAAGAAGUGCAUCGGAAACUGGGAAACUUGAGUGCAGAAGAGGACAGUGGAACUCCAUGUGUAGCGGUGAAAUGCGUAGAUAUAUGGAAGAACACCAGUGGCGAAGGCGGCUGUCUGGUCUGUAACUGACGCUGAGGCUCGAAAGUAUGGGUAGCAAACAGGAUUAGAUACCCUGGUAGUCCAUACCGUAAACGAUGAAUGCUAAGUGUUGGAGGGUUUCCGCCCUUCAGUGCUGCAGCUAACGCAUUAAGCAUUCCGCCUGGGGAGUACGGCCGCAAGGCUGAAACUCAAAGGAAUUGACGGGGGCCCGCACAAGCGGUGGAGCAUGUGGUUUAAUUCGAAGCUACGCGAAGAACCUUACCAGGUCUUGACAUACUAUGCAAAUCUAAGAGAUUAGACGUUCCCUUCGGGGACAUGGAUACAGGUGGUGCAUGGUUGUCGUCAGCUCGUGUCGUGAGAUGUUGGGUUAAGUCCCGCAACGAGCGCAACCCUUAUUAUCAGUUGCCAGCAUUAAGUUGGGCACUCUGGUGAGACUGCCGGUGACAAACCGGAGGAAGGUGGGGAUGACGUCAAAUCAUCAUGCCCCUUAUGACCUGGGCUACACACGUGCUACAAUGGAUGGUACAACGAGUUGCGAACUCGCGAGAGUAAGCUAAUCUCUUAAAGCCAUUCUCAGUUCGGAUUGUAGGCUGCAACUCGCCUACAUGAAGUCGGAAUCGCUAGUAAUCGCGGAUCAGCAUGCCGCGGUGAAUACGUUCCCGGGCCUUGUACACACCGCCCGUCACACCAUGAGAGUUUGUAACACCCAAAGUCGGUGGGGUAA
This 1400-nucleotide ribosomal RNA is filed under the name Lactiplantibacillus plantarum. RNAcentral's name for it is "bacterial SSU rRNA". It matches the Rfam family "Bacterial small subunit ribosomal RNA", at positions 62 to 1438 of the family's 1533-position model. Lineage: Bacteria; Bacillati; Bacillota; Bacilli; Lactobacillales; Lactobacillaceae. The record is from RNAcentral.